AGCACUUGUGUGUGUUUUGUUUUACUCAUGGGCAAAGAUUUGCAGACAGGUGCAAACAAUAAAUGCUCUUUUGCAACCCAGAACUCAUUAUUUAGUAGGAGUUUUGAUACAUGUAAGAAGGACUGUG
RNAcentral lists this small nucleolar RNA (127 nucleotides) under Castor canadensis (American beaver). RNAcentral's name for it is "Small nucleolar RNA SNORA40 (ENSCCNG00000030809.1)". It matches the Rfam family "Small nucleolar RNA SNORA40". Rfam says of the family: The snoRNA ACA 40 belongs to the H/ACA family of snoRNAs and guides the pseudouridylation of 28S rRNA subunit at position U4565. NB This family has a high threshold value to exclude a large number of closely related sequences that do not appear to have conserved H and ACA boxes, and may be pseudogenes. Lineage: Eukaryota; Metazoa; Chordata; Mammalia; Rodentia; Castoridae. The record is from Rfam by way of RNAcentral.